This is a non-coding RNA of Pelobates cultripes (western spadefoot toad), 235 nucleotides long. The record is from the annotation of a GenBank genome assembly. Lineage: Eukaryota; Metazoa; Chordata; Amphibia; Anura; Pelobatidae.
CCUGGGGUCCAGUGGUGGCUCAGGUGGAUGGGAGUCAGAGUUCCCACUCUGACUCCCUCUUGUUCCUCCCGCGCGGUCUGUGUUUUAGCUGGGAGGAGUGACGUGCAGUCACUUCCUCCCAGCAUGUAAUGUAAUCACAGGGGGCCUGGUCGCACUGUUAAAGCACCCAGCACUGACCGGGCCCCCUUACAAUCCACAUCCAUCGGGUGGCCCUGACAGCAUGGACCACCCAAUG